This 385-nucleotide ribosomal RNA is filed under the name uncultured bacterium. Its description in RNAcentral is "bacterial SSU rRNA". It matches the Rfam family "Bacterial small subunit ribosomal RNA", at positions 28 to 417 of the family's 1533-position model. The record is from RNAcentral.
GACGAACGCUGGCGGCGUGCUUAACACAUGCAAGUCGAACGAUGAACCACUUCGGUGGGGAUUAGUGGCGAACGGGUGAGUAACACGUGGGCAAUCUGCCCUUCACUCUGGGACAAGCCCUGGAAACGGGGUCUAAUACCGGAUAACACUGUCACGGGCAUCUGUGGUGGUUAAAAGCUCCGGCGGUGAAGGAUGAGCCCGCGGCCUAUCAGCUUGUUGGUGAGGUAAUGGCUCACCAAGGCGACGACGGGUAGCCGGCCUGAGAGGGCGACCGGCCACACUGGGACUGAGACGCGGCCCAGACUCCUACGGGAGGCAGCAGUGGGGAAUAUUGCACAAUGGGCGAAAGCCUGAUGCAGCGACGCCGCGUGAGGGAUGACGGCCU